RNAcentral lists this ribosomal RNA (253 nucleotides) under uncultured bacterium. RNAcentral's name for it is "partial 16S ribosomal RNA". It matches the Rfam family "Bacterial small subunit ribosomal RNA", at positions 524 to 776 of the family's 1533-position model. The record is from RNAcentral.
UACGUAGGAGGCAAGCGUUGUCCGGAAUUAUUGGGCGUAAAGAGCUCGUAGGCGGUCUGUCGCGUCGGCUGUGAAAACCUGGGGCUCAACUCCGGGCCUGCAGCCGAUACGGGCAGACUAGAAUUCGGUAGGGGAGACUGGAAUUCCUGGUGUAGCGGUGAAAUGCGCAGAUAUCAGGAGGAACACCGGUGGCGAAGGCGGUUCUCUGGGCAUGUCCUGACGCUGAGGAGCGAAAGUGUGGGGAGCGAACAGG